CUAAAGGUUCUGUGAGACACAGGGAAAUGGUUAGAAAUUGGUGGCAAAGAGCAGUUUCCUUUUCUCAUAGACCCCAACACUGGUAUUUCACUAUAUGAAAGUGGUGACAUUGUGAAGUAUCUAUUUCAGCAAUAUGGUAAUGGAAGAAGCCCCUCGAUAGGCCUUUUAGAAAGGUUUUAUAUCUUAAUCAAUAAUCUUAUAACUGUCAGGUGUAAAUUGUAAGAUUGAAUUAGAUGGUACUUAUUGCUGCUAAAUGUCAUGCUUUGAUUUUAUAAUCAGCAAUUUGUACAUGUCUCACAAGCCUAUACAUAUUUUCUAGAACACAAAAAGAAAAUAUGUACAUAGAGUGUACAAACCAUUAAUUACAUUAAUUACAUAGAGUGUAUUUUACUCUAAUACCCUUUAACACACAUACUCUUUAACAAAUCUUAAAAUACUGAAGUAAAUGUGGAUGCAAUUAUCUGAGAAGCUGGUU
Molecule: non-coding RNA, 475 nt
Organism: Carica papaya (papaya)
Lineage: Eukaryota; Viridiplantae; Streptophyta; Magnoliopsida; Brassicales; Caricaceae
Source: RefSeq, a predicted model, not a curated record